UACGUAGGGCGCGAGCGUUGUCCGGAAUUAUUGGGCGUAAAGAGCUCGUAGGCGGCCGGUUGCGUCUGCUGUGAAAUCCCGGGGCUUAACCCCGGGCGUGCAGUGGAUACGGGCCGGCUGGAGGCAGGCAGGGGAGAAUGGAAUUCCCGGUGUAGCGGUGAAAUGCGCAGAUAUCGGGAGGAACACCGGUGGCGAAAGCGGCUUCCUGGUCCAGCACCGACGUUCAGGCACGAAAGCGUGGGGAGCAAACAGG
RNAcentral lists this ribosomal RNA (253 nucleotides) under uncultured bacterium. RNAcentral's name for it is "partial 16S ribosomal RNA". It matches the Rfam family "Bacterial small subunit ribosomal RNA", at positions 524 to 776 of the family's 1533-position model. The record is from RNAcentral.